Molecule: ribosomal RNA, 541 nt
Filed under: Metapenaeus lysianassa
Lineage: Eukaryota; Metazoa; Arthropoda; Malacostraca; Decapoda; Penaeidae
Description: partial large subunit ribosomal RNA
Rfam family: Bacterial large subunit ribosomal RNA
Source: RNAcentral
AAAACAUGUCUGUAUGGUUGUUAUAUAGAGUCUAGCCUGCCCACUGACGAAAGUUAAAGGGCCGCGGUAUUUUGACCGUGCGAAGGUAGCAUAAUCAUUAGUCUUUUAAUUGGAGGCUUGUAUGAAUGGUUGGACAAAAAAUAAGCUGUCUCUAUUUUAUUUCUUGAAUUUAACUUUUAAGUGAAAAGGCUUAAAUGUUCUAGGGGGACGAUAAGACCCUAUAAAGCUUUACAGUGUAUUGAUUAAAUUUUAAAUUAUUAGUAUUAACUUAAUUUAUUUAAUAACUGUUUCGUUGGGGCGACGAAAAUAUAAUAAAUAGUAACUGUUUUUCUUUUAGAAUAACAAUAAAUUUUUGGAAGUAAUUGAUCCUUUCUUAAAGAUUAAAAGAUUAAGUUACUUUAGGGAUAACAGCGUAAUCUUCUUUGAGAGUUCAUAUCGACAAGAAGGGUUGCGACCUCGAUGUUGAAUUAAGGUUUCCUUGAGGUGUAGCAGUUUCAUAGGAGGGUCUGUUCGACCUUUAAAUCCUUACAUGAUCUGAUCU